GCAACGUUAGAAAAAGUAAUAUAUAUAAUAGAAACGGUAUGACUUUGAAGAAGACAAUCAAAGCGCGAGCCAGACGAAUAAUUUCCUAAAUUAUAAGUUUAUAUAGGUUUAAAAAUUAUAUUGGCCGAAAGACUGAAAACUGACUAUUUGUUUUAGUCGAUUGGUCACACAACAUUAACAAGUACAUAAAUACCGAGGUAAC
Molecule: non-coding RNA, 202 nt
Organism: Cinara cedri
Lineage: Eukaryota; Metazoa; Arthropoda; Insecta; Hemiptera; Aphididae
Source: the annotation of a GenBank genome assembly